Carcharodon carcharias (great white shark) is the source of this 364-nucleotide long non-coding RNA. RefSeq lists it as uncharacterized. The record is from RefSeq and is a predicted model, not a curated record. NCBI's taxonomy places the organism in Eukaryota, Metazoa, Chordata, Chondrichthyes, Lamniformes, Lamnidae. The transcript has 3 exons.
AUUAGUAAAAGCUCUUGACCUUGAUUCAUCUCCAGUCAUCACUGUUGUACAUGAUGGGCAUUAUCAUCAAUGUCCUUGCACUCAUAAGCAAGGGCAGGAAUUUUCAGAUGGCGUGGCUUCCUACCCCGCCACCCGAAGAGUCAGCGGAGAAUGUAUUCUCACUGAUCACAGUAGGCAAGACUGAUUGGCCGGCAGCUCUCUAGUCCCAGCAGUGCUAAUGGCAACAGUGGACACAAUGAAUACAGCAGUCCCCAGUUCUAAGUCCUAGAGUCCAGGCCAGUGGUGAAACCUAACCAGAAUGUAGUAAUGGAUGUGAAGUAUUUGACACUGAUAACAUUCAUUUGUUUUCUGGGAAGAAUUCAAG